RNAcentral lists this ribosomal RNA (392 nucleotides) under uncultured bacterium. Its description in RNAcentral is "partial 16S ribosomal RNA". It matches the Rfam family "Bacterial small subunit ribosomal RNA", at positions 523 to 918 of the family's 1533-position model. The record is from RNAcentral.
AUACGGAGGAUCCGAGCGUUAUCCGGAUUUAUUGGGUAUAAAGGGUGCGCAGGCGGCCAUUUAAGUCAGCGGUUAAAUCGUGGGGCUCCACCCCAUUCUGCCGUUGAUACUGGGUGGCUUGAUUGCGGUCGAGGUUGGCGGAAUUCGUUGUGUAGCGGUGAAAUGCAUAGAUAUGACGAAGAACACCGAUUGCGUAGGCAGCUGACCAGACCGCAAAUGACGCUCAUGCACGAAAGUGCGGGGAUCGAACAGGAUUAGAUACCCUGGUAGUCCGCACAGUAAACGAUGAAUACUUGUUUUCGGCGAUAUAAUGUCGGAGGCAAAGCGAAAGCGAUAAGUAUUCCACCUGGGGAGUACGCCGGCAACGGUGAAACUCAAAUGAAUUGACGGGG